GGUGGUGCAUGGCCGUUCUUAGUUCGUGGAUCGAUUUGUCUGGUUUAUUCCGAUAACGAGCGAGACUCUAGCCUACUAAAUAGCGGGGCUCUUCUUUAGCUGGAGCCACUGCUUCUUAGAGGGAUUUUCGGUGUUUAGCCGCACGAGAUUGAGCAAUAACAGGUCUGUGAUGCCCUUAGAUGUCCGGGGCUGCACGCGCGCUACACUGGCAAAAUCAGCGUGCUGUAUCCAUUCUCGAAAGGGAUUGGUAAACCCAUGAAAAUUUGCCGUGCUUGGGAUCGGAAAUUGCAAUUAUUUUCCGUGAACGAGGAAUUCCAAGUAAGUGCGAGUCAUCAACUCGCUCUGAUUACGUCCCUGCCCUUUGUACACACCGCCCGUCGCU
Molecule: ribosomal RNA, 382 nt
Filed under: Eucephalobus environmental sample
Lineage: Eukaryota; Metazoa; Nematoda; Chromadorea; Rhabditida; Cephalobidae
Description: SSU rRNA
Rfam family: Eukaryotic small subunit ribosomal RNA
Source: RNAcentral